CAGACCCGUGUUCUGUCCACUAAGCCAUGCUGCUUCCAUUGGAUUCCUACAGCAACGUCUACCUAUCCAAGACCUUCUUCGAGCAGAUCCCUCCUUUCAGAAGUUCACCUACUCCCCAGUUGGUUCCCAGCGGCUGGACAGACGGGCUCCCUGGGGAUGCACCCAGCGGGAUCAAGGAACGGGGAACCGGGCUUUAUGUGGGGUGUCAAUCUCCAGCCUCAGCCCAGUUUAGCCUUGUGCGAGUGUGGAAGAGAGCGAGGGCUGCGUGCGGGACCCAGAAGUUUCAUGCGACUCCCAAACGCUAAGCAAAAUGGAGCCCAGGGUUUGUUACCUGAGGAAAUCUCGGGUUCUUAACAGAGGGGAUAGAGGGGGAAAAAAACCCAGCAGUGAAAUAUUCAUAACUCGUUUAAAAUAGCCAAGCCUUCCAGGUAGCCCACUCCAAUAGAUAUGUGGAUUCUGUUGACAGAAUUGAAGAUUUGAACCAUUGAUCACCCAAAUGUACUAAAUCCCUUAAAGUCCGACUGGCAGAAUUGGAAAGACUUCGUCAGUAGACCCCGGCCCAUUUGACAGUGGAAAAGUUAAGAAAAUAUCAAUAUUUAAUUUUGGUGUU
Long non-coding RNA from Ornithorhynchus anatinus (platypus), 610 nucleotides. RefSeq lists it as uncharacterized. NCBI's taxonomy places the organism in Eukaryota, Metazoa, Chordata, Mammalia, Monotremata, Ornithorhynchidae. The transcript is spliced from 2 exons. The record is from RefSeq and is a predicted model, not a curated record.